CCUACGGGUGGCAGCAGUGGGGAAUAUUGGACAAUGGGCGAAAGCCUGAUCCAGCCAUGCCGCGUGUGUGAAGAAGGCCUUCGGGUUGUAAAGCACUUUCAGUGGGGAAGAAAGCCUUGGGGCUAAUACCCUCGAGGAAGGACAUCACCCACAGAAGAAGCACCGGCUAACUCCGUGCCAGCAGCCGCGGUAAUACGGAGGGUGCGAGCGUUAAUCGGAAUUACUGGGCGUAAAGCGCGCGUAGGCGGUCUGAUAAGCCGGUUGUGAAAGCCCCGGGCUCAACCUGGGAACGGCAUCCGGAACUGUCAGGCUAGAGUGCAGGAGAGGAAGGUAGAAUUCCCGGUGUAGCGGGGAAAUGCGUAGAGAUCGGGAGGAAUACCAGUGGCGAAGGCGGCCUUCUGGACUGACACUGACGCUGAGGUGCGAAAGCGUGGGUAGCAAACAGGAUUAGAUACCCUGGUAGU
RNAcentral lists this ribosomal RNA (464 nucleotides) under Vreelandella stevensii. Its description in RNAcentral is "partial 16S ribosomal RNA". It matches the Rfam family "Bacterial small subunit ribosomal RNA", at positions 338 to 794 of the family's 1533-position model. Lineage: Bacteria; Pseudomonadati; Pseudomonadota; Gammaproteobacteria; Oceanospirillales; Halomonadaceae. The record is from RNAcentral.